UGCCGAGUUGUGUAGUGGUAGCACAGCGGGCUUUGGACCCGUUUGCCCAGGUUCGAACCCUGGCUCGGCAGCCA
This 74-nucleotide transfer RNA is filed under the name Chloroflexota bacterium. Its description in RNAcentral is "Chloroflexi bacterium (hot springs metagenome) tRNA-Gln". It matches the Rfam family "tRNA". From Rfam's summary of the family: Transfer RNA (tRNA) molecules are approximately 80 nucleotides in length. Their secondary structure includes four short double-helical elements and three loops (D, anti-codon, and T loops). Lineage: Bacteria; Bacillati; Chloroflexota. The record is from RNAcentral. RNAcentral also lists the same sequence under 1 other name.